UGAGAGCGGCGCACGGGUGCGGAACACGUGUGCAACCUGCCUUUAUCUGGGGGAUAGCCUUUCGAAAGGAAGAUUAAUACCCCAUAAUAUAUUGAUUGGCAUCAAUUAAUAUUGAAAACUCCGGUGGAUAGAGAUGGGCACGCGCAAGAUUAGAUAGUUGGUGAGGUAACGGCUCACCAAGUCAAUGAUCUUUAGGGGGCCUGAGAGGGUGAUCCCCCACACUGGUACUGAGACACGGACCAGACUCCUACGGGAGGCAGCAGUGAGGAAUAUUGGACAAUGGGUGAGAGCCUGAUCCAGCCA
This 303-nucleotide ribosomal RNA is filed under the name uncultured Chryseobacterium sp. RNAcentral describes it as "bacterial SSU rRNA". It matches the Rfam family "Bacterial small subunit ribosomal RNA", at positions 90 to 394 of the family's 1533-position model. Lineage: Bacteria; Pseudomonadati; Bacteroidota; Flavobacteriia; Flavobacteriales; Weeksellaceae. The record is from RNAcentral.